Molecule: ribosomal RNA, 485 nt
Filed under: Peritropis punctata
Lineage: Eukaryota; Metazoa; Arthropoda; Insecta; Hemiptera; Miridae
Description: partial 16S ribosomal RNA
Rfam family: Bacterial large subunit ribosomal RNA
Source: RNAcentral
GCCUUGCUCAUGAUUAUAAUUUAAUAGCUGCAGUAUUUUGACUGUACAAAGGUAGCAUAAUUAUUUGCCUUUUAAUUGAGGGCUGGUAUGAAUGGCUGGAUGAAAUAUAUGCUUUUUUUAUUUUUUUUUGAAAAAAUUAAUUUUUUAGUCAGAAAGCUAAAAUUUGUUUAAGGGACGAGAAGACCCUAUAGAACUUUAUUGUUUAAGUAUUAAAAUAAGGUAUAUUUGAUAGUUUUUAUUUUGAUACAGGAUAAUUGUGUUGGGGUGAUUGAAAAAAUUUAUUAACUUUUUUUUAUUUUAUUCAUAUAUAAAUGAAUGGUUGAUCCAAGGAAUUUUGAUUAUAAGAUUAAGUUACCUUAGGGAUAACAGCGUUAUUUUUCUUUAGAGUUCUUAUCGAAAGAAAAGUUUGCGACCUCGAUGUUGGAUUAAAAUUGGUUAUGGGUGGAGAGAUUUGUUAACUAAGUCUGUUCGACUUAUAAAUUUUU